This 76-nucleotide non-coding RNA is filed under the name Deltaproteobacteria bacterium. RNAcentral describes it as "Fluoride sequence". It matches the Rfam family "Fluoride riboswitch aptamer (crcB RNA motif)". The record is from RNAcentral. Lineage: Bacteria; Pseudomonadati; Myxococcota; Myxococcia.
UUUUGAACAGGUGAUGGGGUUCACCUUUUAACCAUCCUGGUCUCAUUCAGACGGGAUUGAUAACCCCUACCAGUGG